RNAcentral lists this ribosomal RNA (253 nucleotides) under uncultured bacterium. RNAcentral's name for it is "partial 16S ribosomal RNA". It matches the Rfam family "Bacterial small subunit ribosomal RNA", at positions 524 to 776 of the family's 1533-position model. The record is from RNAcentral.
UACGUAGGGGGCAAGCGUUGUCCGGAAUCAUUGGGCGUAAAGCGCGUGUAGGCGGCUUGGUAAGUCCGCUCUGAAAGCCCGGGGCUCAACCCCGGGAGGCGGGUGGAUACUGUCAAGCUCGAGUCCGGAAGAGGCGAGUGGAAUUCCUGGUGUAGCGGUGAAAUGCGCAGAUAUCAGGAGGAACACCGAUUGCGAAGGCAGCUCGCUGGAACGUAACUGACGCUGAGACGCGAAAGCGUGGGGAGCAAACAGG